Molecule: ribosomal RNA, 404 nt
Filed under: uncultured bacterium
Lineage: Bacteria
Description: bacterial SSU rRNA
Rfam family: Bacterial small subunit ribosomal RNA
Source: RNAcentral
UGGGGAAUAUUGGACAAUGGGCGCAAGCCUGAUCCAGCCAUGCCGCGUGAGUGAAGAAGGCCUUAGGGUUGUAAAACUCUUUCGGCAGGGAAGAUAAUGACGGUACCUGCAGAAGAAGCUCCGGCUAACUCCGUGCCAGCAGCCGCGGUAAUACGGAGGGGGCAAGCGUUGCUCGGAAUUACUGGGCGUAAAGCGAGCGUAGGCGGUUAAUCAAGUUGGUGGUGAAAGCCCAGAGCUUAACUCUGGAACUGCCAUCAAAACUGAUUGACUAGAGAUUGGUAGAGGAAAAUGGAAUUCCUAGUGUAGAGGUGAAAUUCGUAGAUAUUGGGAAGAACACCAGUGGCGAAGGCGAUUUUCUGGGCCAAUUCUGACGCUGAGGUUCGAAAGCGUGGGUAGCAAACAGG